AUACGGAGGGUGCAAGCGUUGUUCGGAAUUAUUGGGCGUAAAGCGGGUGUAGGCGGUCAAGUAAGUCGGAUGUGAAAUCCCUGGGCCCAACCCAGGAACUGCAUUCGAAACUACUAGACUAGAGUCUCGGAGAGGGUGGCGGAAUUCCCGGUGUAGAGGUGAAAUUCGUAGAUAUCGGGAGGAACACCAGUGGCGAAGGCGGCCACCUGGACGAUGACUGACGCUCAGACCCGAAAGCGUGGGGAGCAAACAGGAUUAGAAACCCCAGUAGUCC
RNAcentral lists this ribosomal RNA (274 nucleotides) under uncultured bacterium. RNAcentral describes it as "partial 16S ribosomal RNA". It matches the Rfam family "Bacterial small subunit ribosomal RNA", at positions 523 to 796 of the family's 1533-position model. The record is from RNAcentral.